This is an RNA transcript of Rhipicephalus sanguineus (brown dog tick), 7430 nucleotides long. It is a transcript of the gene named longitudinals lacking protein, isoforms H/M/V, with no coding region annotated. The record is from RefSeq and is a predicted model, not a curated record. The transcript has 8 exons. NCBI's taxonomy places the organism in Eukaryota, Metazoa, Arthropoda, Arachnida, Ixodida, Ixodidae.
UGCAAGCGUCGGAUCGGUUUGUAAACAGAGUUUUAUUUCGCGCGAGGUGCCACCAUGGGGUCCCAACAAUUUUGUCUCAAGUGGAAAAGCCACUACAGCAACCUUCUGAGCGCCCUCGACCAGCUACUGUUCAGCGAAUCACUCACAGAUGUCACGCUUGCCUGUGAAGGCUUUAGUCUCAAGGCUCACAAGGCCAUGCUGUCAGCCUGCAGCCCCUUUUUUCAGACCUUAUUUGCAGAGAACAGCCACCAGCACCCAAUCGUCAUUCUCAAAGAUUUCAAAUUCUCUGAACUGAGAGCCAUUGUUGAUUUCAUGUACCACGGGGAAGUGAAUGUCUCACGCGAACAGCUUUCUUCACUGCUGAGAGCUGCGGAGGCACUUCAAGUGAAAGGCCUGACCGACCUGACCAGCGACACUCCUGAAUUGGCUGAACAGUUGCCCAGUUUGACUUCCUCUGAUGUGCGAGCAAGCAAUGUGGACUCUGCAACCGUUGCAUCGCCAUCGAAGAGACCACUGAAAUCACCACCAAGCAGCAAGAGAAAAAGAGUGAGACCUCGACAUGUCACCCCUCGAGAGCAAGAAAGUCAGGUCUCAAGCAAUGAUGAGGCAGAGGAGGAGAACUCAAGUGAUGGGGAGUUUUUGCCUAAGCGUACCUCUGAGGCUGUUGCUCUGCAGAGAACUACCAGGUCUAGCAAGAGCACAAGCUCCUGCUCAGUGUUGGAAACUCUGUUGUCCACCAAAGAACUGAGUGGAAACUGUGAGCAAAAGCAUAGGCUGCAUACAUGUCACGAAACUACGGAAGAAGACAAAGACUUCGAGACAUCACGGCUUCUAGAGCAAGCACUAGCAAAGGGUGAUGAGUCCAGUUCAAGCGCUGUUGACAGCAAUUGCCACCAGAAGAUGUUCCCAGCGUCUUCUCAGCUUAGCUUGCUGGCUACAGCAAAAAUGCUGGAGUCUGGUUCCGGAAAGCCAGAAACAGAAGAAGAUGCGUCUGCGCUGCUGGCAACUCUGGCAGCAUCAGGCGAGAGCUCAAACUCUGGCAACAGUUCCGGGCAAGGUACUCCCCAUUCCUUAUUUCCUGCGAGAGGUGGUCGCAACUCUGGCUGGACAGAGGAGCAGAUGCAGCGGGCAUUGAGUGCUGUCUUUGCGGAAGGUGUGCCUAUGACAGCUGCGGCAAGGCGCUUUGGCAUCCCCAAGACAACACUGCUUUACCGGCUUCAGAACUCUCUGACCAGGCGCUCACCGAAAACUUGAGGAAUCCCUAAAACAGCCAUUUUUGUGAAGACCCCCUUCUGUAUGUUGUGCCUCUUUGCAUUCAUCUCGCCAUGAAGCCAUGUUGAAUUCCAGUGAGGUAGUACAGCACAGUACAUACAUUGAUUCUUGUGGCCACCUCAGUCAUCAAAGUAGCUGCAAAGAGCAUUGUUUCAUUAUAAAACAACAUUACUAAAAUAAGUUGCCUUGUUCUUAGAUACACCUCACUACAUAGAGGCAGGGCUAAUGUCAACAGCAUGGCUGUAUGCUGGAUACACUUCUCUAGUAAUAGAUUUUUGCAGUAAUAGUACAGAACUUUGUAUGUAUAAGCCCCUGUAUAUCAUUGCUGGAAAUUUAAUAUGGUUGUCCACAGCAAACAGUUCAAAUGUCAGUGCAGAAAUUAAUGCUCAAGUACUUGGAAUUUGUGUUCGUACGUUGGAUUGCAUUCUGUGGCUUAUUUGGUGUAUCUCAGAACGAAGUGCUUAUACCCCUCACUAGGUUGGAAUGGAAUCCAGACAUUUUCUUUCUCAUUGUUACAGUCGAACAAUGUUUAGUAGUAGCCAGGAUAGCAGCAAAUGGAAAGUAGCGAGUCCAUGUUUUUGGAAGCCAAGUUAUCCUCCCUUAAGGCAGAGACCAUUUCCCAUUGUGUGGAUCAGCACCCAGAAGUGACAUUCCUCUUUUCCUUCUUUCACAUCUGUAGAGGGCCUGUCUGGUGUUUAGGUUGCAAGCCCUGCCUUUCUUUUUUCUUGCACCACAGCCUAAUAACAGAGGUGGUUUCAUGCUCUGCAUUUCACGAGUGGUUUGUAUGGUUGCUGGCUGUCCAUGUGAUGCAUAUGCUACACGUUUAUGUGCAGGUGUACCGUGCCAGUGACAUUAUCUCUGCUGCUUGUCAAAAUGGCUACAUUAAAGGGGUCAUGAACCACUUUUCUGACUAACGAUCAAUUGACCUUAGCAUCGGAGUUUAUUGCCUCGCGAAUCAAUCGCCGCAAAAAUUUCUCAAAUUCGACAAGUACGAGCGGAGUUGCAGGGAUUUGUUGCACGCUGUAAGUGCUUUCUCUCUUCUAUUGCCCCAACGAGCACACUGGAAGCCACACUCGGAAAAAUGACAAGGGGGAACGAAGCUACGACAUGCGCGUGCCGUGACCUUGAGCACGCAUCAUGAAACUCGUUCACUGUCUCCCCGCUUUACUCCUGUGGGCGCAAGAGUCACUACUAUGUCAUUUUAGCACACUAUAGGGUGCAUCACCCUGUACUUGGCGGCACCAUGUGGCAAGAAGCGCAUCUAAUCCAAACACCGCUCUUGCUUUAUGCUAACUAUCGGCCAGUAGCAGCAAUCUUUUUGUGGGACUCAAAAUCUGCUAUAUGACGGUCCUCCGAAGAGCGCGAGUAUAAGCCUUUGUAUGAAAAGAGGGCGCUUUAGAAAGUGGCAACUUCGUGCUCCGCUUGUGAACUUUUCUUGCUGUGCAUAACUGUAAGAUUUGGCUGAGCUGUUCGCAGCAGCACCUGCUUUCUGCUGUAUGUGUUUUUUCACCAGGCACGAGGGGUGGUUCAUGACCCCUUUAAAAAAUCUGUUUUUGCAAAAGCCUUUCAACCAUGUAAUAUUUUGCAGACAAAGUUGUCGCCACACUAGCUGCGCAUCAAACCUCUUUGGCUGUGAUUUCCAAGCCUGGUUAGGAGUCCUGUAGGUUUGUUUUCCCUGUGCACCACCUUUGCAGUGGUACUUCUCUUGUUAUCGUGACGGUGACAUCUAUGAAAGACCUGCUUCAACGGCAGUCUUGUCAGAGCUAUAUAUUUAGGCCUAACGUUGCAAUAAGAGAGGAAACAUUGCUUUCAUCAGUGGCAUGAACAUAAUAAUUGCCUUUCACAAAUUUGAGCUUAUAGUGAGUUUCGUGACGCCUGGAAACUUUCCCUCAACUACUUGAAGUUUUUAAUGAGCGCUGCCCUUUGGUAGCCAUACUAGUCCCAUUUUUAUUUUCUGUGCUUGUUAUAGGACCUGCAUUUUCAUGUUAAAAAAUCGAAAAGAUUUGUCACUUGGUGCUGCUUUGUGUUUGCUCAAAUAUUGCAACAAGAUUGCAUAUUUUAUGUGAAAGCUUUCAGUUAUAUUACAAUAGAUGUCCUUGUCCAACUGGAUCAUUCACUAUCAGAGAAGCUAGGUGCUGUAGUGUUGUGCGCUGCUCUGGCUGCUCGUAGGGAACUAAAUGUUCCUGUGGACCAGGGAAACAACAAGGUCAGUGUUUAAUUGAACGUUAAGGACCAAGAAUAUGUUCUAGCCAGUGGCAAGUUUUAUCUGAAAGGGGCGCUAUGACAUUUUUUGAACAUAGUCAGAAAGUAUGGCCUAUCUCUAGUCAAGGUUCCUGUGAAUAUAAAAACCAAAUAAUAUUGCACUGAGGUCAGCAGGGAACUAAUUUUCGUUUUAAAAGCAGCCCAAAAUUUCUUGCUUUCCCUUUUGCUUUGUUGUCAAAUUUUUGUAGCUGGAGAUUUGGGAAGCAACAGAGUUAACUAGUAAACUCAUUCUGUAAUAACCUAGAAAGGUGUUGAGGGCCCCUUUGUAGUUAUUAGCAAGGAAACAGGUCGUUAUGGCACCACAUGGGUGUGUGAAUAAGAGGGACAUCGGCAUUGUAUGUGCCAUUGGUGUAGCCAGGGGGUUGGGGGGGGGGGGGGUUGGACGGAUAAACCCCCCUCUCCCGAUAUUUUUCAGUUUUGUAUUUGUAUAUGUACGCUCACACACACAAACGCACAUACAAACAUACAUUAAGGGGUAAUUGAACAUCCGCCUCGAGAAAAAUUUCUGGCUACGCCCCUGGUAUGCACUGAUUGAAGGCAUUUGCUGUGUGCUAUUGCUAAACUGCACUUGGGAGGGGAACAUUUAUUGAAUACCGAAGGGCAUUGUGAGUGACGUUGCAGGUGCAUGUGCUGUUCUGCCACUUCAAUUAUUAAAUUUCACAGCUCUUACAUAUGAAAUCUUUGAAUAACCUGUCGUUACAAGAAAUGAUCAAUGAUGGAUGAAGGUUUCUGUUAAAUUUUCGAUUAGCAAAAAUUUUUAUCUCAGUUGCUCAUGUAUUGAAGGAUUAAGCAAUUUCAGAGCUGUUUUGCAAUUUAAUUAGGAUGUGGUAUACAUAUUUAUGCUUUAACAUAAUGAUUAUGGUGAUGAAUGAGUGGAUAUUGGUACGCGUCUUAGAGGUAUGUUUACAUGUGCCAAAACUAAGACAUGCUCUGUGCAGUGCUGUAUAAAAUACAUAAUUGCAACUGGGCUCAAUAUUUGUGUCAUUUUACCAAAGUAAGUUUUAGUUUGUCAAAGAUUGGUGUGUGUAACCAAGUGUGAAUGUCCUGUGCGUGUGUGUGUGUUUUUAGAGGAUUUGUAUGUCCCAGUUAACAGCUUUACAUCCUCAACUUUGGUAGAGGUAAACUUUAGUGUGGACAGAGUGAGUGAUUUCUGAGAUCCCCUUGACAUGUUCUUGUGAGAAUUUAUACAUCAGAUAUCUACGCUGUGAGUAUUGAGUACAGCUCAUGUUUAUCCAGCAUGCAGACUAGCUUUGGAGGUUGGGUUUGCUGUGUGCACUUCAAAAUUUUUAACACAUAACGACAGUUAUGUUUUCUAGUGACAAUGUUCUUGAUAGCUGAAACACUUUCAGGCAAGUCACUCAGUGUAUUGGCUAUUUUAAUUUAAAAGGAGUCAAGAGAGCUGUGCAUGCAGUGUGUUUUCUGUAUCCAUUAUAUUCAUGUUUCAUAAUUGUGCAGUAAGUUUACUAGAUCAGAAGAAGAAACAUUAUGUUAUGCUGCUAAUGUGCUUCCAAAUAGCAGAGUCUGCUGGUCACUGGCUUUUAUUUUAUUGUUUACUUAAAGGGACGCAAAAGAGAAAAAUGAUUUUUUUUGUAUUAGUAGGUUACCCUUGCAUAAUAGCAAAGCACCACUGCUGCCGUGAGAAGAUGCUUGGUAAACGAGAAAAUGCAUAGAAAGAAGAUGCAGGUGGCGACGUCACCUUGAAGUUCUCGCACCAAUCGCCGUGAUGUCAUAGAUUUUGUUGGAGUCCACUGUGGCUUGCAUAGCUCUUAAUCACUAAAAAUAAAGUACAUUGUCUUCUAGAAGGGGCCAUAGACAUAACAUACCAAGUUCCAGGAACUUUUAUUAAGCCAAUGUACCCGAAUUGGAAAAAAAAAACGCUUUGAAAUUCAUGGCAUCAUGCUGACAUUCAUGUGCUUUUUAUUCAGUGCGAAAUUUAAAAAUCAUACUUUGACCUUCAUUCUCUCCUCUAAUAAUUAACCUAUGAUGAUGAAAUUAAUAACAGUGGAGUUUUCAAAGAAUAAUGUAUCAGUCUAAACUAAUUCAUCAUUUCACUUUAGUGUCCCUUUAAUUGUUUGACGUAUGAUUCUUUUUUGCGCCAUGCCUGAUGUUUUUGAAAUAUUGCCACUUGCCCAUCAGCAUCAGUGAGAAUGUAAUAACCACAUGUAAUUUUCAUGUAGCUUGCAUAUCGAGUGUAGUUUUAAGUAACUUUAGUGCAUGACAGCAGCAAACAUUACUUUGGCACUUUCAGCAGUUAUCUAGUCACCAAAGUAGUCGCCUUGCUGCCCUUAAGAUUUCAUCAUUUGUUCGUUGCUCUAGAAGCGCAUGUUAUUGCAAAACCAACUAAGCGAGUUUUUUCUUUCGUUUUUCUUACGAGAAGCUUAUUUUUUGCCAGAUUGAAUGCCAAAAUCGUCACACAACAUGCUUGAAGAUGUAUUUUGUAUGCCUGUAAAUUUUAUUUGGAGUUGACAUUUUGUGUACUUAAUUUAUACAAAUUAAUAAGCUGUGCUUAUCCAGCCAUUACAAAAAAUAUAUUUCCGUGAGAACCUAGUGAAAAUUAGGUGUUUAUUUACAACUGAUAUUGUGCAAGUCCGGUAUUAGCUGCGAAUUUAGUCCUAAUACUAGUGCCCGAUGUACAUUAACUAGUCAUGUUAUUAUUACAGGAAUCCAAAAGAUACUAAAGCCUUUUGUUAUUGUACAGAAAUUGAAGAGUUUUUUAAUGAUUUCAUUAUGCAUGUCAUCUUUCAUCACAGUGUUGUUUAACUGCAUGUGACCCCACAGAGCCCAUGCUUUGACACGCUGAGUUUGAUGCAUUUUUGUUUAUUUAUUUGUACUGCUGGCUAUGUUUGGCCCAAGAAGGAACUGAUUAAAAGUUAAAUAAUAACAGCAAAGUAUUUUAUGCUGUGGAAGAUACUUGUACAUGAUGGUAAGAUAUAAUGCAAGCAAUACAGCAAUAAAAUAUAACUGACAAUAAAGGUUUGUUAUCAUUUGCUUACAUGCAUUACAAAUAACAAGGGACAUAUAAUUUUUGCAAAAACAACAGACACUGAAUAGAAAAAAAAUUUCAAGCAAUUUGCUUAAAAGAAUAAAGUACUACUAUGUUAUCUGUACUGAAUAGUUCGUGAUAGUGUGUUUUAGUUGAAUAUUGUUUGUGUGAGAAACCAACGCUGAUUUAAGCAUGAAAAACUAAACCCAACACUUGCAGUAGCUUCUUCGACUCAUUGGAGCAAUGUUUAUGAUGUGGAUAGCUUAGUAAGCUGUUUUUAUAGACAGCGUAACGAAAACAGUUGGGCAGAGAUGUGGUCAGGGCACUGACUUAAUAGUGCUUCUGUGUGAUGUACGUAUACAGCAAGGCUAUCUGAAAAGUUUUGCACUCGGUUCACUUCUCUGCCCCCUCUGUUUUCAUUGCAUUGUCCAUCAAAAUUUCAGUCAUGUUCUACCAAGAUAAAUUGUGCCCUGUUUGCUAACUGAUUAAUAAUAGGCAAUUGCUCUACUAAUUACAUUUUACUCAAAUAACAUUUCAUUGUUUGGUGUAAAUUGGUACAAAUGUAUAGUCUCUGUAUGGACAGGAAUUAAGGUGGUCAAGUUUUUUUAUUUGUUCCUUCCUGUGAAAUGGUGCUUGGGCUUUGUGGGGUUAAUACACAUGUUGGCAUAGAGUACUGCAUGAUGUUUUGCUUUGCGCUAGCAACACACAUAAUAAUGUGUCAGCUGGUUGUAUUGUAGUAAUGUAAAACUGUCACCUCCUUAUUUUGUAACUUGAUGCUGUCUGUGCUCACCAAAAAUGUGCUUGGAAUACAUUUAGUGGUGGAGAUCCGUUGGCUGAAUAACUGUGUGUCUUUUGCAAUAUCAACAACAGUUUCAUACUUUGUGUCAGAAAUAAACUAGUACUUCAUUUGCAA